AUUGAACGCUGGCGGCAUGCCUUACACAUGCAAGUCGAACGGCAGCACGGGAGCAAUCCUGGUGGCGAGUGGCGAACGGGUGAGUAAUAUAUCGGAACGUGCCCAGUCGUGGGGGAUAACGUAGCGAAAGCUACGCUAAUACCGCAUACUAUCUAUGGAUGAAAGCGGGGGAUCGCAAGACCUCGCGCGAUUGGAGCGGCCGAUAUCAGAUUAGGUAGUUGGUGAGGUAAAGGCUCACCAAGCCGACGAUCUGUAGCUGGUCUGAGAGGACGACCAGCCACACUGGGACUGAGACACGGCCCAGACUCCUACGGGAGGCAGCAGUGGGGAAUUUUGGACAAUGGCGCAAGCCUGAUCAGCAAUGCCGCGUGCAGGA
RNAcentral lists this ribosomal RNA (376 nucleotides) under uncultured bacterium. RNAcentral's name for it is "bacterial SSU rRNA". It matches the Rfam family "Bacterial small subunit ribosomal RNA", at positions 30 to 408 of the family's 1533-position model. The record is from RNAcentral.